RNAcentral lists this ribosomal RNA (2884 nucleotides) under Synechocystis sp. LEGE 06083. Its description in RNAcentral is "23S ribosomal RNA". It matches the Rfam family "Bacterial large subunit ribosomal RNA". Lineage: Bacteria; Bacillati; Cyanobacteriota; Cyanophyceae; Synechococcales; Merismopediaceae. The record is from RNAcentral.
GGUCAAGCUACAAAGGGCUAACGGUGGAUACCUUGGCACACAGAGGCGAAGAAGGACGUGGUUACCGACGAAACGCUUCGGGGAGCUGGAAACAAGCAUUGAUCCGGAGGUGUCCGAAUGGGGCAACCCAAGUGAACUACCCGCUGAAUAAAAUAGGCGGGAGAGAGCGAACCUAGUGAACUGAAACAUCUUAGUAGCUAGAGGAAAAGAAAACAAAAGUGAUUCUCUAAGUAGCGGCGAGCGAACGGGGAACAGCCUAAACCAAUGUCUUCGGAGAUUGGGGUCGUGGGACAGCAACAUGGACUGAAUAGAUUAGACGAAGCAGCUGAAAACUGCACCAGAGGAGGUGAAAGUCCUGUAGUCGAAAAUCGAAGCAGCCUAGCUGAAUCCCGAGUAGGUCGGAGCUCGUGGAAUUCCGAUUGAAUCCGCCAGGACCACCUGGUAAGGCUAAAUACUACUGUGUGACCGAUAGCGUAAAGUACCGCGAGGGAAAGGUGAAAAGAACCCCGUUGAGGGGAGUGAAAUAGAACAUGAAACCGUUAGCCUACAAGCAAUGGGAGCUCGAUUAAACGAGUGACCGUGUGCCUGUUGAAGAAUGAGCCGGCGACUUACAGGUUGUGGCAGGUUAAGGUGUGUUGCACCGAAGCCAAAGUGAAAGCGAGCCUGAAUAGGGCGUUAGUCACAAUUUGUAGACCCGAACCCGGGUGAUCUAACCAUGGCCAGGAUGAAGCUUAGGUAACACUAAGUGGAGGUCCGAACCGACUAAUGUUGAAAAAUUAGCGGAUGAGCUGUGGUUAGGGGUGAAAUGCCAAUCGAACCCGGAGCUAGCUGGUUCUCCCCGAAAUGUGUUUAGGCGCAGCGGUUGUAAAGUCAACUUGGGGGGUAAAGCACUGUUUCGCUGCGGGCGGCGAGAGCUGUACCAAAGUGAGGCAAACUCAGAAUACCCAAGAAGAAACGACCAGUAAGACGGUGGGGGAUAAGCUUCAUCGUCGAAAGGGAAACAGCCCAGACCACCAGCUAAGGUCCCCAAAUCAUCACUAAGUGAGAAAGGAGGUGGGAGUGCAUUGACAACCAGGAGGUUUGCCUAGAAGCAGCAAUCCUUAAAAGAGUGCGUAAUAGCUCACUGGUCAAGCGCUCCUGCGCCGAAAAUGAACGGGGCUAAGUGAUGUACCGAAGCUGUGGACUCAGAUAUGAGUGGUAGGGGAGCGUUCUGUAUAGGGUGAAGCACUAGCGGCAAGCAGGUGUGGACAGUACAGAAGUGAGAAUGUCGGCUUGAGUAGCGAAAAUAUGGGUGAGAAUCCCAUACCCCGAAAUCCUAAGGGUUCCUCCGGAAGGCUCGUCCGCGGAGGGUUAGUCAGGACCUAAGGCGAGGCUGAGAAGCGUAGUCGAUGGACAACCGGUCAAUAUUCCGGUACUGAUUAUGAAUUGUGGCGGGGGACGGAGAAGGCUAGUGCAGCUGGAAGUUGGUUACCAGUCCAAGCAUUCGAGGCGAUGAGAGACGGCGAAAACGUCUUGAGCGGAGGUGUGAUGGGGAGUCUCUACGGAGACGAAGUGCAUGAUGUCAAGCUUCCUAGAAAAGCCCGAACCACGUUAAUUUAUAGUCACCUGUACCCGAAACCGACACAGGUAGGAAGGUAGAGAAUACUAAGGGGCGCGAGGUAACUCUCUCUAAGGAACUCGGCAAAAUUACCCCGUAACUUCGGGAGAAGGGGUGCCUCCAGCAAUGGAGGUCGCAGUGAAUAGGCCCAGGCGACUGUUUACCAAAAACACAGGUCUCCGCAAAGUCGUAAGACGCAGUAUGGGGGCUGACGCCUGCCCAGUGCCGGAAGGUUAAGGAAGUUGGUCAGGGAGCAAUCCUGAAGCUAGCGACUGAAGCCCCGGUGAACGGCGGCCGUAACUAUAACGGUCCUAAGGUAGCGAAAUUCCUUGUCGGGUAAGUUCCGACCCGCACGAAAGGCGUAACGAUCUGGGCACUGUCUCGGAGAGAGGCUCGGCGAAAUAGGAUUGUCUGUGAAGAUACGGACUCCCUGCACCUGGACAGAAAGACCCUAUGAAGCUUUACUGUAGCUUGGAAUUGGGUUCGGGCUUUGCUUGCGCAGGAUAGGUGGGAGACUAUGAAGUUACUCUUGUGGGAGUAAUGGAGUCAACGGUGAGAUACCACUCUGGUGAGGCUAGAAUUCUAACUUGUUCCCGUUAUCCGGGAGAAGGACAAUUUCAGGUGGGCAGUUUGACUGGGGCGGUCGCCUCCUAAAAGGUAACGGAGGCGCGCAAAGGUUUCCUCAGGCUGGUUGGAAAUCAGCCGAAGAGUGUAAAAGCAGAAGGAAGCUUGACUGUGAGACUGACAAGUCAAACAGGGACGAAAGUCGGCUUUAGUGAUCCGACGGCACUGAGUGGAAGGGCCGUCGCUCAACGGAUAAAAGUUACUCUAGGGAUAACAGGCUGAUCUCCGCCAAGAGUUCACAUCGACGCGGAGGUUUGGCACCUCGAUGUCGGCUCAUCGCAACCUGGGGCGGUAGUACGUCCCAAGGGUUGGGCUGUUCGCCCAUUAAAGCGGUACGUGAGCUGGGUUCAGAACGUCGUGAGACAGUUCGGUCCAUAUCCGGUGUAGGCGUAAGAGUAUUGAGAGGAGACUUCCUUAGUACGAGAGGACCGGGAAGUACGCACCUCUGGUGUACCUGUUAUCGUGCCAACGGUAAACGCAGGGUAGCCAAGUGCGGAGUGGAUAACCGCUGAAAGCAUCUAAGUGGGAAGCCCACCUCAAGAUGAGUACUCUCAUGGUGUUAAGCCAGUAAGGUCACGGGAAGACUACCCGUUGAUAGGCUCUAGAUGGAAGUUCAGUAAUGGAUGAAGUCGAGGAGUACUAAUAGACCGAGGGCUUGACCUU